RNAcentral lists this ribosomal RNA (468 nucleotides) under uncultured bacterium. RNAcentral describes it as "partial 16S ribosomal RNA". It matches the Rfam family "Bacterial small subunit ribosomal RNA", at positions 28 to 507 of the family's 1533-position model. The record is from RNAcentral.
GACGAACGCUGGCGGCGUGCUUAACACAUGCAAGUCGAACGGAAAGGCCCUGCUUUUGUGGGGUGCUCGAGUGGCGAACGGGUGAGUAACACGUGAGUAACCUGCCCUUGACUUUGGGAUAACUUCAGGAAACUGGGGCUAAUACCGGAUAGGAGCUCCUGCUGCAUGGUGGGGGUUGGAAAGUUUCGGCGGUUGGGGAUGGACUCGCGGCUUAUCAGCUUGUUGGUGGGGUAGUGGCUUACCAAGGCUUUGACGGGUAGCCGGCCUGAGAGGGUGACCGGCCACAUUGGGACUGAGAUGCGGCCCAGACUCCUACGGGACGCAGCAGUGGGGAAUAUUGCACAAUGGGCUGAAGCCUGAUGCAGCAACGCCGCGUGCGGGAUGACGGCCUUCGGGUUGUAAACCGCUUUCGCCUGUGACGAAGCGUGAGUGACGGUAAUGGGUAAAGAAGCACCGGCUAACUACGUG